This 465-nucleotide ribosomal RNA is filed under the name uncultured Thiobacillus sp. RNAcentral's name for it is "bacterial SSU rRNA". It matches the Rfam family "Bacterial small subunit ribosomal RNA", at positions 916 to 1381 of the family's 1533-position model. The record is from RNAcentral. Lineage: Bacteria; Pseudomonadati; Pseudomonadota; Betaproteobacteria; Nitrosomonadales; Thiobacillaceae.
GACGGGACCCGCACAAGCGGUGGAUGAUGUGGAUUAAUUCGAUGCAACGCGAAGAACCUUACCUACCCUUGACAUGUCCGGAACUUGCCAGAGAUGGCUUGGUGCCCGAAAGGGAAUCGGAACACAGGUGCUGCAUGGCUGUCGUCAGCUCGUGUCGUGAGAUGUUGGGUUAAGUCCCGCAACGAGCGCAACCCUUAUCAUUAGUUGCUACGCAAGGGCACUCUAAUGAGACUGCCGGUGACAAACCGGAGGAAGGUGGGGAUGACGUCAAGUCCUCAUGGCCCUUAUGGGUAGGGCUUCACACGUCAUACAAUGGUCGGUACAGAGGGUUGCCAAGCCGCGAGGCGGAGCCAAUCCCACAAGGCCGAUCGUAGUCCGGAUUGUUCUCUGCAACUCGAGAGCAUGAAGUCGGAAUCGCUAGUAAUCGCAGGUCAGCAUACUGCGGUGAAUACGUUCCCGGGUCUU